Molecule: long non-coding RNA, 502 nt
Filed under: Monodelphis domestica (gray short-tailed opossum)
Lineage: Eukaryota; Metazoa; Chordata; Mammalia; Didelphimorphia; Didelphidae
Description: lncRNA (ENSMODG00000033564.2)
Source: RNAcentral
CUAGGUCUUGCAGCUAGUGAGUCUGAGGCCUGAUUUGAAUGCAGAUUUUCUUGAUUUCAGGACCAGUGCGCUGACAAAUGCUGAAAGAAGAGCAAGUGAGAGGAAAUAUGUCACUAGCAUGGAAAUAGAGGUGGAGGAGGGUUGGUUUGAGUGAAUGAAAAGUCAGAGCUUCAUUGACUGAAGAAAUAAUAAAAUAGAAUACUUAAGAAAUUGCAGACAUAAGGUGGAAGCUGACUCUCCAACAAGUUAUUGAAUUUCUGAAUAUCUCCCUAGAGAUUUUGAAGAGGAAAUUUCUCCUUUAGUGAGAUCAGAGACUUUCUCUUGGUUUGAACUGAGAUCUUCUCAUCGUCACAGCAGAAGAGCUUAUGUGGAAUUCUGGGGAAAUUCCUAUUUAGCUACUCUUAAAUCUAGAGAGAUACACAAUGGGAUAAAUUCAUGCUGAUAAACAAGCAAGUGCCCCCAGGUAAAGAGUAAUGGGGCCAAGUUGACUUACAAGAGAAUG